RNAcentral lists this long non-coding RNA (6529 nucleotides) under Capra hircus (goat). Its description in RNAcentral is "lncRNA (ENSCHIG00000004042.1)". The record is from RNAcentral. Lineage: Eukaryota; Metazoa; Chordata; Mammalia; Artiodactyla; Bovidae.
GAGGGUGAACGACAGGGGAGCCUUGCGUGCUGCAGUCCCGGGCGUUGCAACCGUCUGACAGGACUGAGCCACCGAACUGAGCUGAUAGGCUGUGCUCUGAUCACCUCGUGCCCUGAUUGGCUGGCAAAGCUUUGCGCAUCACCAACCUUCUGGCUGAACCUCAUCUGGGGUCCUUGCGCUCGCUCGCAGUCAGCCUCUUUCGUCUUGUGGGGCCUGCUUCCUGCAGAAACACUUAGGAAUGCAGGUCGGGCCUUCGCCCGCCCGUGUCUUCCUGGCCGCGGGGCCCACCCUCCUCCUGAGAGGGUUUGUAGACGGAGGCGGCGCUGCCCUCGGCUCUGGGCCGUCGUCGUGGUUCGUGCUGGGAGCCCGGCUCUUGGGGAGCUCGUCCCCUGGGGCCUGUCAGGCCUGCUCACCCAAGGCCCUUCCUCCUUCCUUAUCCAGAGCGGCUGUGCUCGCCUUCCCGCCUCCCCUGGACGCGCAGGUCCAGCCGGGCCGCCCCAGCCCCGCCUCUCCAGACGCUUCCGCCUGGGCACCGGCUCCGGGGCCUGCGGCAGAGACCUGGGCCUGCCGGGCGUGCAUCCAGGCCCUGAAGCCGCGAGGCCCAGGGUUCCUUUGGGGCCCCAGGCAGCCUCACAUUCCCCGGGAGCCCCUAGGAAUCCCCAGAGGCCACAGCCCACUGGCCGUCCUGCUUCCGCGCUGACCCCACCCGGAGUCUUACCCCAGUGGCCGUCUGACGCGCGCCUUCCACGCUGCCCACAGCCUGCGGUGGUCUCUCCCUUCACGGCCAGGAGCUCAGGCAGAGGCCUCGGCAGGGGGGGCUGCCCCGCGAGGCUUUGCUGGGGGGUCGCACCUGGGCUGGGUGGGGCUGGAAGGUCCAAGAUCCCCCCGCCUGUCACCUUGGUGUCUCCCACCUGGCCACUUUCUCUCUCCGUGGGACCCCGUCUCUCCCCACCUGGCCCCUUUCUCCCUCUGCGUGGCCCCCUCUCCCUCCACGUGGCCCCUUUCUCCCCCCACGUGGCCCCUUUCUCCCCCCGCGUGGCCCCCUUUCCCCCUCCGCAGGGUCCCUUUCUCCCUCCGCGUGGCCCCCCUUCUCCCCCGCGUGGCCCCCCUUCUCCCACACGUGGCCCCCCUUCUCCCCCGCAUGGCCCCCCUUCUCCCCCGCGUGGCCCCCCUUCUCCCCCCGCGUGGCCCCUUUCUCCCUCCGCGUGGCCUCUUUCUCCCCCCGCGUGGCCCCUUUCUCCCUCCGCAGGGUCCCUUUCUCCCCCCGCGUGGCCCCUUUCUCCCCCCGCGUGGCCCCUUUCUCCCUCCGCAGGGUCCCUUUCUCCCCCCGCGUGGCCCCCUUUCUCCCUCCGCAGGGUCCCUUUCUCCCUCCGUGUGGCCCCUUUCUCCCCGCGCGUGGCCCCCCUUCUCCCUCUGCGUGGCCCCCUUCUCCCCCCGCGUGGCCUCUUUCUCCCUCCGCGUGAGCCCGUCUCUCUCCAGGCCUUGUCUUGCCUGAGCUGGGUUACCAUGUGGUUACCCGGGUGCUCGCUGCUGAGCGGAGCAAGCUGCAGCCCAGCCUGGAUCCGAGGGGAGACCACGGGCCUCAGCGCUUGGCGGGAGCCUGGGCCGAGUGCACCAGGAGCGGCGGGGAGCAAACCCAGGACUCCCAACACCCGUGGCAACGACGCGAGUGUGUCCCUGCCGUUGCUGGAGUGUCACCAGUCAAAUGUCCGGACCCGACACCACCGCGGAGCAUCUGCCUCUGGGUUCAUCUCAGCGAUGAAGGCUGCGACCUCCUCACCCGCGGAUGGGGCUGCCACUGACCGGCCCGACCCCCUGGCCAGACCCUUGGAGGCUCCUGCAGCCCAGCGCCUAGGAGAGGCUGGUGGAGUCCUUGUCCCCGGUGGAGGGACAGGCAGCUGGGGAGCCUGGAGGGACCCUGGGCAGCAGGGAGGAGGGACGCAUUGGGUACAGCCGCCGGCAGGAAGCGGUUGCCUGCAUCCAGGCUGGAAGGUGCACCACCGCACCAUCACCAGCAGGAGGAGAAAAGAGCCUCUCCCGCCUGGCGACAGCUCAGCCGAUGAGAAGCCAGCCAAUGAGAAGCCCCUCUCCCGCCUGGCAACAGCUCAGCCAAUGAGAAGCCCCAAUCGGUUCAGUUCAGUCGCUCAGUUGUGUCCGACUCUUUGCGACCCCAGGAAUUGCAGCACGCCAGGCCUCCCUGUUCAUCACCAACUCCCGGAGUUCACUCAGACUCACAUCCAUCAAGUCAGUGAUGCCAUCCAGCCAUCGCAUCCUCGGUCGUCCCCUUCUCCUCCUGCCCCCAAUCCCUCCCAGCAUCAGAGUCUUUUCCAAUGAGUCAACUCUUCGCAUGAGGUGGUCAAAGUACUGGAGCUUCAGCUUUAGCAUCAUUCCUUCCAAAGAAAUCCCAGGGUUGAUCUCCUUCAGAAUGGACUGGUUGGACCUCCUUGCAGUCCAAGGGACCCUCAAGAGUCUUCUCCAACACCACAGUUCAAAAGCAUCAAUUCUUCGGUGCUCAGCUUUCUUCACAGUCCAGCCCUCACAUCCAUACAUGACCACGGGAAAAACCAUAGCCUUGACUACACGGACCUUAGUUGGCAAAGUAAUGUCUCUGCUCUUGAAUAUACUAUCUAGGUUGGUCAUAACUUUCCUUCCAAGGAGUAAGCGUCUUUUAAUUUAAUGGCUGCAGUCACCAUCUGCAGUGAUUUUGGAACCCCCCAAAAUAAAAUCUGACACUGUUUCCACUGUUUCCCCAUCUAUUUCCCAUGAAGUGAUGGGACCGGAUGCCAUGAUCUUCGUUUUCUGAAUGUUGAGCUUUAAGCCAACUUUUUCACUCUCCUCUUUCACUUCCAUCAAGAGGCUUCUGAGUUCCUCUUCACUUUCUGCCAUAAGGGUGGUGUCAUCUGCAUAUCUGAGGUGAUUGAUAUUUCUCCUGGCAAUCUUGAUUCCAGCUUGUGCUUCUUCCAGUCCAGCAUUUCUCAUGAUGUACUCUGCAUAGAAGUUAAAUAAACAGGGUGACAAUAUACAGCCUUGACGCACUCCUUUUCCUAUUUGGAACCAGUCUGUUGUUCCAUGUCCAGUUCUAACUGUUGCUUCCUGACCUGCAUACAGAUUUCUCAAGAGGCAGGUCAGGUGGUCUGGUAUUCCCAUCUCUCUCAGAAUUUUCCACAGUUGAUUGUGAUCCACACAGCCAAAGGCUUUGGCAUAGUCAAUAAAGCAGAAAUAGAUGUUUUCUGGAACUCUCUUGCUUUUUCCAUGACCCAGUGGAUGUUGGCAAUCUGAUCUCUGGUUCCUCUGCCUUUUCUAAAACCAGCUUGAACGUCAGGGAGUUCACGGUUCAAGUAUUGCUGAAGCCUGGCUUGGAGAAUUUUGAGCAUUACUUUACUAGCGUGUGAGAUGAGUGCAAUUGUGCGGUAGUUUGAGCAUUCUUUGGCAUUGCCUUUCUUUGGGGUUGGAGUGAAAACUGACCUUUUCCAGUACUGUAGCCACUGCUGAGUUUUCCAAAUUUGCUGGCAUAUUGAGUGCAGCACUUUCACAGCAUCAUCUUUCAGGAUUUGAAACAGCUCAACUGGAAUUCCAUCACCUCCACUAGCUUUGUUCGUAGUGAUGCUUUCUAAGGCCCACUUGACUUCACAUUCCAGGAUGUCUGGCUCUAGGUGAGUAAUCACACCAUCAUGAUUAUCUUGGUCUUGAAGAUAUUUUUUGUACACUUCUUCUGUGUAUUCUUGCCACCUCUUCUUAAUAUCUUCUGCUUCUGUUAGGUCCAGACCAUUUCUGUCCUUAUUGAGCCCAUCUUUGCAUGAAAUGUUCCCUUGGUAUCUCUAAUUUUCUUGAAGAGAUCUCUAAUCUUUCCCAUUCUGUUGUUUCCCUCUAUUUCUUUGCAUUGAUCACUGAAGAAGGCUUUCUUAUCUCUUCUUGCUAUUCUUUGGAACUCUGCAUUCAGAUGCUUAUAUCUUUCCUUUCCUCCUUUGCUUUUUGCCUCUCUUCUUUUCACAGCUAUUUGUAAGGCCUCCCCAGACAGCCAUUUUGCUUUUUUGCAUUUCUUUUCCACGGGGAUGGUCUUGAUCCUUGUCUCCUGUACAAUGUCACGAACCUCAGUCCAUAGUUCAUCAGGCACUCUAUCUAUCAGAUCUAGGACCUUAAAUCUAUUUCUCACUUCCACUGUGUAAUCAUAAGGGAUUUGAUUUAGGUCAUACCUGAAUGGUCUAGCGGUUUUCCCUACUUUCUUCAAUUUGAGUCUGAAUUUGGUAAUAAGGAGUUCAUGAUGUGAGCCACAGUCAGCUCCUGGUCUUGUUUUUGUUGACUGUAUAGAGCUUCUCCAUCUUUGGCUGCAAAGAAUAUAAUCAGUCUGAUUUCGGUGUUGACCAUCUGGUGAUGUCCAUGUGGAGAGUCUUCUCUUGUGUUGUUGGAAGAGGGUGUUUGCUAUGACCAGUGCAUUUUCUUGGCAAAACUCUAUUAGCCUUUCCCCUGCUUCAUUCCUCAUUCCAAGACCAAAUUUGCCUGUUACUCCAGGUGUUUCUUGACUUCCUACUUUUGCAUUCCAAUCCCUAUAAUGAAAAGGAAAUUUUUGGGUGUUAGGUCUAAAAGGUUUUGUAGGUCUUCAUAGAACCAUUUAACUUCAGCUUCUUCAGCGUUACUGGUUGGGGCAUAGACUUGGUUUACCGUGAUACUGAAUGGUUUGCCUUGGAGAUGAACAGAGAUCAUUCUGCCGUUUUUGAGAUUGCAUCCAAGUACUGCAUUUCAGACUCUUUUGUUGACCAUGAUGGCUACUCCAUUUCUUCUGAGGGAUUCCUGCCCGCAGUAGUAGAUAUAAUGGUCAUCUGAGUUAAAUUCACCCAUUCCAGUCCAUCUUAGUUCGCUGAUUCCUAGAAUGUCGACGUUCACCCUUGCCAUCUCCUAUUUGACCACUUCCAAUUUGCCUUGAUUCAUGGACCUGACAUUCCAGGUUCCUAUGCAAUAUUGCUCUUUACAGCAUCAGACCUUGCUUCUAUCACCAGUCACAUCCACAGCUGGGUAUUGCUUUUGCUUUGGCUCCACCCCUUCAUUCUUUCUGCAGUUAUUUCUCCACUGAUCUCCGGUAGCAUAUUGGGCACCUACUGACCUGGGGAGCUCCUCUUUCAGUGUCCUAUCUCUUUGCCUUUUCAUACUGUUUAUGGGGUUCUCAAGGCAAGGAUACUGAAGUGGCUUGCCGUUCCCUUCUCCAGUGGACCGCAUUCUGUCAGGCCUCUCCACCAUCACCCGCCCGUCUUGGGUGGCCCCACACGGCAUGGCUUAGUUUCAUUGAGUUAGACAGGGCUGUGCUCCUAGUGUGAUUAGAUUGACUAGUUUUCUGUGAGCAUGGUUUCAGUGUGUCUGCCCUCCUGAAACAUCUACCGUCUUACUUGGGUUUCUCUUAACUUGGGCGUAGGGUAUCUCUUCACGGCUGCUCCAGCAAAGCGCAGCUGCUCCUUACCUUGGAUGAGAGGUAUCUCCUCACCGCCGCCCCUCCCUACCUUGAACAUGGAAUAGUUCCUCUAGGCCCUCGGGCGCCCGAGCAGCCACCACUCCUUGGACAUGGGGUCGCUCUUCCCGGCCGCCGCCCCUGGCCUCGAGCUGGGGUAGCUCCUCUAGGCUGCUGCCCUUAACCUCGGACACGGGAUAACUGGAUGAGAAGUUGUGGGGAUGAGAAGCCCCAGCCUCCUCCAAUGGGCUACUUGUGUUAAAGCCCCGCCCACCUCCCCAUCUUCCUAUAAAAAGACGGUCCUCUCCCUGGCUUCCCACUUGCCCCCAGCUCAGCAAGUUCACCUUGCUCUUGCAGCCGGAGUGGCAACCCUUUGCUGCCUUGAGUAAAAAAUGACUAUUUAUUGUUUUAGUUUAGCAUGAUGAAAACCCUCCAAUAGCAAAGAGACAUGAAAAAUGUUGAUCAGCCAGGACUCAGACACACAAAUGGACCCUGCGAGGCACCAACUCCUGAUUCACAAAGGCAAGGGAGACCCACACUGCUGUGCGGAGGUCUUUCCAGAAAGAAAUUUUCAUACCCUUCAAGCUGACAAGUCACUUCUAGAAAAAUCUGUCCCAGGAUUCCAAGAUGGGGGGAGGUGGUUUUGAACAAAGAUGCUUACUGCAGCGAGAUUAACAAUAGCUGAAAGCUGGCGCAUCAGAACUGCCCAACGGUAGAAAAAUGUGUACUAAACCUUCUCAUAUGUCCGCACUCGGGGGCUUCUGGGCAGAGUGAGUUUGCAGUGUGGGAUCCCAGUGUGCUAACUGAGAAAUACAAAACGGUGAUUACUGUAUGUGUGCCAUGUGCCCAGUCGCUCAGCAGGUCUGAUUCUCUGCGACCCCACGGACUGUAGCCCGCCAGGCUCCUGUGUAAAGGGGGUUUCUCCAGGCAAGAAUACUGGAGUGGGUUGCCAUUUCCUCCUCCAGGGGAUCUCCCCAACCCAGGGAUUGAACCCAGGUCUCCCAGAUUGUGGGCAGAUUCUUUACUGUCUGAGCCUGAUUAUAAUAUACCUACUGUGUGUGUAUACCCACACGUGUACACACAUACACGUCA